UGCAUGAUUGUUUUUAAUCAACUUUGUGGUGAUAUGAAAGGCUUGAGUAAUCUCUUGAAGAGGGAGAAUAUUUCAUUGUUCCUUCUAACUACUGAGUUUCUUAAUUUCAAUCUUCAGGACCAAUGACAACUAGAUUUACAAAAGGAAGAAGCAUAGUAGGAUAAUUUUAGCUUGUGGGUUGGCAGGACUGUCCUGCGUUCCCACACUUUUUAAACCUAGGAGAAAAAUUUUUAAGUCGGGACAUAGACAUUGGAAGUCUGAAAAGAUGUUUUAUCUUAAGUAUAUCCUCGAAAAGUGCAGAUUGGUGAAAGAAUUUGGAAGGCAAAAAUAGUGUGGUAUGAUGCCAUUUAUUUUCUGCAGUGAGUCGAUAUGACGUGGAUAAAAGUGAUUUUAUGCAUUUUAUAAAUUCUGUUCGAUGACACUGUACCAUUUCGAUGAAGACUACGAGACUCAAUGAUGACAUUGACCGGGCUGUCCGGGGAGUAUGUGAUAUUCGAACAGAAUGUCUCAAAAUGCAAGUUCGAAUUCGAAUUUUUUUUGUGACAGCUGAGCGGGAAAAUUGGCGGUUUUAGCACAUUAACGGUGUUAAGCGUUCGUUUUGACGAACGCGGAAUGAUUAAUUUGGACUGACGUGUUAAUUUUUAAGACUUCGUUUGAAAAGAAACACACAUUACGACGUCAAAAAUUUGCGACAACUGAAAACUGCAAAAAGAAAAAGACCAACAGAAUUCGUGGAGAAAAACGGUGAACGGCAAUUGUGCGAUACAGAUCGAGAUUGAAUUAGAACACAACUAUCAGAAAACCAUUCCGAGUUGUAAAGAUUGUGUCGCUACAAUCGUCACAACCCGAAUCCCGAGAACCAGGAAGGGUAUUGGGACGACGUGCCCAGCCUUCCGGGAAGAAAUAAGACUGUUAUUUGCCCGGUUCCAGAAUCCGGAGGGGUCUCGGGACAAAACUGUAACUCUCUGUUUUUAUGAACUUUUAGCUUCUGGUCAUGUCCUGAAUUGAAUUAAUAACAUCUAAAUUUGUUUUCAGAUUAUGAGAAGCUAGGAGUUGAGGGAAAGGUUGAUCCAUUUUCGAUGAAGAUGAUGAUUUUUAUCUACUGAACAUAAAUAAUAGUAAUAUGAUAAAUAUGUAGUAGCCCUGUUUUUAGGAGUGACCUCGUGGUCUGGGGAUACUGAGACCCAGCCAUGCGCUCACUGUGUAUGCAUCUAAUUAAGUUAAUUAGAGCGUUCUGAUCGAAGCCGGAAACAGUAACGUUUUGUCGACCCGAUGUUAGAAAGACCAUCAAAAGAACUGGCUUAGGCCUGUAGAGCUGUGUUUAGACGCUGGCCAGUCGUUUUAGAACCUAGCUUUUUUCCCGUCGAUUUGUACUUCCGGGCGAAUGUUACACAUCACGGACUUUUCUUGUGUUGUUAGCAGUUUGCUUUUGAGUUGCAACUUUUGUUCAUUGCAGUUUCACGGCGGACUUGAGCUGGAAAAAAAAUUCUGUUGUCAAAAAAAAAUCAAGUUUGCACUGAAACUACAAAAUACAUUCUUUGCAGCAAUAGCGAAAUUUGCUCUCUCUCAGCACUAGGAAAAUCCAUGGUGUGGCAGAAAAAAUUGUUUUGGCUCAAUUGGUGUCUGUUUAAUGAUUGUUGGGCUUGCUUCCGUUUCGUAAGUUUGGUUCCGUUGCUUAUUUAAUAUUCAAAUGUUUUGUUUGGCAUGUUUGUCUAGAAUGAGCGUUUAUCGAAAAUUUUGGUAGACCUAGUUUUUUUCCAAAUUUUUUUAUUUUUCCGAAAUCUUAGGUUUUUUAUGUCUGUGUUGCAUCGCAAGUGAUGCGAAGCUCUGGUUCGCCUAUUGGUACAAGUUGCUGUUGUCUUCAAAAAAUACAAAUUGGUUAUCACUUUCGGAGGAAACGUUCCAUUAUUCUUACUGAGAUGGAAAAAGCUUUUAUAUCAGCUAAACCACUUUCGUCACGUUUGCUCAUGAAAACUCGCUGAUAAUUUUCCUGGUGUCAAUCAGUUUUAAUGCCGCCUUCUUGAUACUGAUAUGUGGAGGUUCCUUGUCUGAUAUCCGUUGCUCUAGAUCCGCCACCUCAAUCUUUCUUACUUUAAGUAUGCCGUACCUUGAUUACUGUGAUCUUAAGUUUCUUCAAUAAUAUCAUUCACUAAUUCAACAUUAGUUGGGCAUUCAUUUUUUUGGAUCAUUUCGUCGGUCUACUAUUUGUGUGCGAUGAACUAUUUGCUUGAUAGGUUAACAGGUUCCAUUGUUGCUUAAUAGUUUAACCACAAAAUUAGGCUAACGUUCAAGACAUUUUUGAGUGUCUUAUUUUCACCUUUGUUCCGAUAACUUCGUAUUUUGUUAAAGAAAUUUCAUUCUUAGUUUUUUUAGGAAUUCGGCAGACGACUGUGGUAAAUAAUGUCUUAUCCAGUCUGAACCUUCUCACGCUCUUAUUCGUUGUCAUUAUGGGCUUCAUCUUGGCCGACUGGCCCAACUGGACGAACGAUUUUCUACCGAACGGAGUCUCUUCUGUAUUCGAAGGAGCUUCGCGGGCAUACUUUGCGUACACAGGAUACGAUGCCAUUACGGUCGGCAGCGAGGAAGCCAAAGAUCCCAAUCGAUCAGUGCCCAUAGCACUCAUUUUCACCGUUCUUUUUAUCACAGGGAUCAAGUUAUCAUAUUUUGUCAGAUAAUAACGGCCCGCCCCUCCCAUAAGUGACGCCCUCUCUCCCUUUCAUUCAGGACUUCAAUUCCUGCUUCAAAAUAUGCAUGUUGUAUUUUGAAGCAGGAAUUGAAGGUCCCACUUUUUGUUUCAAUUUUCCGACACUGUCUGAGUUGGUCGACUCUCAUCGUUGAUAUUAUAUUAUACGCUGACUUUUUACUUAGCUAGGCAAUUUAAAAAUAAACAUAAACAUAAGAAACUGGGGCUAGAAAAAGCAGGUUGACAGAUAGCCUUUUUUGAGUCCUUUUAGUUUGGGGUAGAAAGAAGCGUGAUUUAACUUGAUCUCUUCUAUGACAGCACUGAUGUCUUCGUUGGCGCUCGCUCUGACUUUGAUGGUACCAUAUCUGGAAAUAUCCGAAACAACUGCAUUGUCCUCGGCGCUCGAUUACAACGGAAUGCAUUGGGCUGCAAACAUAGUGUCCAUUGGGGCAAUUUUUGCUCUUUCUUGCACGGUUAUUUCCAACAUAAUGUGCACUUCUAGAAUCACGUACGCAAUCUCGUCCGAAGGACUCUUGUUCAGAUUUUUAUCACGAGUCAAUAGGUCCACCCAGGUUCCAAUUUUUGCAACUAUUUUUGGCGCCACAAUUACAAUUCUGAUGACGUUUUUUAUACCACUUCAGGAUUUGACAGAAAUGUUGGCGUUCGGCAACCUUUUGGCGUACGCAUUCGUCGCUUUCGCCGUGAUCAAACUCAGAACAACUUCACUAAAGUUUCUUCAGCAGGAGGCUAAUAAAAUUUUUUAUCCGAUGAAAAAAUCCCCCUGAUUGAGACAAAGAACAAAAAUGAACCUGAAAAUCAUCAAAACUUAAGUAUUGAUAACCGAAAUGAUAAAAAUAACACGUGGAACCAGCGACAGUGUAUAUCAGCAGUGGGGCUUCUUGUCUUUGCUUUUCUGGCUUGUAUUUUUCUGAGGAUAGCGCAAAACUCGGAGCUUAGCAGCUCAGCUACUAUUGUUGUGACAAGUGAUAAGUGCUUGUUGUCUGGUUGCAAUGAUGUCUUGUUUGGUGUGCUUUUGGAGACUAUCGAACACGAACCUUGUCACAGAAACAGUUUAUCGAGUGCCAUUGGUCCCCUUCUUUCCCGCCUUCUCAAUAUUCGUCAAUUUCUACCUCAUGGUCCAAUUGAGUACUAUCACUUGGAUCAGGUCAUUUGUGUGGAUUUCCAUCGGGCUGUUGAUUUAUUUCUUCUAUGGAAUCAAGCAUAGCGACUUGGAAAAGGUCUCCACAAGCGAUGACGAUGACUCACUGUCUGACGGAUGUGGCGGCAGUCGCGAAUAGCUCAUUGAAUAGACUCAUUUGAUAACUCAAACCAUUGUAGUUAGCUCGAUUUGUGAAAUAUGCAGAACAAUCAAUUUAAAAUGGUGUUUUUUCGG
Molecule: long non-coding RNA, 4076 nt
Organism: Symsagittifera roscoffensis
Lineage: Eukaryota; Metazoa; Xenacoelomorpha; Acoela; Convolutidae
Exons: 2
Source: RefSeq, a predicted model, not a curated record